UGACCAGACUCCUACGGGAGGCAGCAGUGGGGAGUAUUGCACAAUGGGGGAAACCCUGAUGCAGCGACGCCGCGUGAGCGAUGAAGUAUUUCGGUAUGUAAAGCUCUAUCAGCAGGGAAGAAAAUGACGGUACCUGACUAAGAAGCCCCGGCUAACUACGUGCCAGCAGCCGCGGUAAUACGUAGGGGGCAAGCGUUAUCCGGAUUUACUGGGUGUAAAGGGAGCGUAGACGGCGAUGCAAGUCUGAAGUGAAAGGCGGGGGCCCAACCCCCGGACUGCUCUGGAAACUGCGUCGCUGGAGUACGGGAGGGGCAGGCGGAAUUCCUGGUGUAGCGGUGAAAUGCGUAGAUAUCAGGAGGAACACCGGCGGCGAAGGCGGCCUGCUGGACCGUGACUGACGUUGAGGCUCGAGAGCGUGGGGAGCAAACAGGAUUAGAUACCCCUGUA
RNAcentral lists this ribosomal RNA (447 nucleotides) under uncultured bacterium. RNAcentral's name for it is "bacterial SSU rRNA". It matches the Rfam family "Bacterial small subunit ribosomal RNA", at positions 328 to 792 of the family's 1533-position model. The record is from RNAcentral.